Molecule: ribosomal RNA, 2900 nt
Filed under: Klebsiella pneumoniae
Lineage: Bacteria; Pseudomonadati; Pseudomonadota; Gammaproteobacteria; Enterobacterales; Enterobacteriaceae
Description: bacterial LSU rRNA
Rfam family: Bacterial large subunit ribosomal RNA
Source: RNAcentral
UUAAGCGACUAAGCGUACACGGUGGAUGCCCUGGCAGUCAGAGGCGAUGAAGGACGUGCUAAUCUGCGAAAAGCGUCGGUAAGGUGAUAUGAACCGUUAUAACCGGCGAUGUCCGAAUGGGGAAACCCAGUGCAAUUCGUUGCACUAUCGUUAACUGAAUACAUAGGUUAACGAGGCGAACCGGGGGAACUGAAACAUCUAAGUACCCCGAGGAAAAGAAAUCAACCGAGAUUCCCCCAGUAGCGGCGAGCGAACGGGGAGCAGCCCAGAGUCUGAAUCAGCUUGUGUGUUAGUGGAACGGUCUGGAAAGUCCGACGGUACAGGGUGAUAGUCCCGUACACCAAAAUGCACAGGCUGUGAACUCGAAGAGUAGGGCGGGACACGUGGUAUCCUGUCUGAAUAUGGGGGGACCAUCCUCCAAGGCUAAAUACUCCUGACUGACCGAUAGUGAACCAGUACCGUGAGGGAAAGGCGAAAAGAACCCCGGCGAGGGGAGUGAAAAAGAACCUGAAACCGUGUACGUACAAGCAGUGGGAGCACCUUCGGGUGUGACUGCGUACCUUUUGUAUAAUGGGUCAGCGACUUAUAUUCUGUAGCAAGGUUAACCGUAUAGGGGAGCCGCAGGGAAACCGAGUCUUAACUGGGCGUUAAGUUGCAGGGUAUAGACCCGAAACCCGGUGAUCUAGCCAUGGGCAGGUUGAAGGUUGGGUAACACUAACUGGAGGACCGAACCGACUAAUGUUGAAAAAUUAGCGGAUGACUUGUGGCUGGGGGUGAAAGGCCAAUCAAACCGGGAGAUAGCUGGUUCUCCCCGAAAGCUAUUUAGGUAGCGCCUCGUGAACUCAUCUUCGGGGGUAGAGCACUGUUUCGGCUAGGGGGUCAUCCCGACUUACCAACCCGAUGCAAACUACGAAUACCGAAGAAUGUUAUCACGGGAGACACACGGCGGGUGCUAACGUCCGUCGUGAAGAGGGAAACAACCCAGACCGCCAGCUAAGGUCCCAAAGUCAUGGUUAAGUGGGAAACGAUGUGGGAAGGCACAGACAGCCAGGAUGUUGGCUUAGAAGCAGCCAUCAUUUAAAGAAAGCGUAAUAGCUCACUGGUCGAGUCGGCCUGCGCGGAAGAUGUAACGGGGCUAAACCAUGCACCGAAGCUGCGGCAGCGACACUAUGUGUUGUUGGGUAGGGGAGCGUUCUGUAAGCCUGCGAAGGUGUGCUGUGAGGCAUGCUGGAGGUAUCAGAAGUGCGAAUGCUGACAUAAGUAACGAUAAAGCGGGUGAAAAGCCCGCUCGCCGGAAGACCAAGGGUUCCUGUCCAACGUUAAUCGGGGCAGGGUGAGUCGACCCCUAAGGCGAGGCCGAAAGGCGUAGUCGAUGGGAAACAGGUUAAUAUUCCUGUACUUGGUGUUACUGCGAAGGGGGGACGGAGAAGGCUAUGUUAGCCGGGCGACGGUUGUCCCGGUUUAAGCAUGUAGGCUGGUUAUCCAGGCAAAUCCGGAUAAUCAAGGCUGAGGUGUGAUGACGAGGCACUACGGUGCUGAAGUAACAAAUGCCCUGCUUCCAGGAAAAGCCUCUAAGCAUCAGGUAACAUUAAAUCGUACCCCAAACCGACACAGGUGGUCAGGUAGAGAAUACCAAGGCGCUUGAGAGAACUCGGGUGAAGGAACUAGGCAAAAUGGUGCCGUAACUUCGGGAGAAGGCACGCUGGUGUGUAGGUGAAGUCCCUGCGGAUGGAGCUGAGACCAGUCGAAGAUACCAGCUGGCUGCAACUGUUUAUUAAAAACACAGCACUGUGCAAACACGAAAGUGGACGUAUACGGUGUGACGCCUGCCCGGUGCCGGAAGGUUAAUUGAUGGGGUUAUCCGUAAGGAGAAGCUCUUGAUCGAAGCCCCGGUAAACGGCGGCCGUAACUAUAACGGUCCUAAGGUAGCGAAAUUCCUUGUCGGGUAAGUUCCGACCUGCACGAAUGGCGUAAUGAUGGCCAGGCUGUCUCCACCCGAGACUCAGUGAAAUUGAACUCGCUGUGAAGAUGCAGUGUACCCGCGGCAAGACGGAAAGACCCCGUGAACCUUUACUAUAGCUUGACACUGAACAUUGAGCCUUGAUGUGUAGGAUAGGUGGGAGGCUUUGAAGCGUGGACGCCAGUCUGCGUGGAGCCAACCUUGAAAUACCACCCUUUAAUGUUUGAUGUUCUAACGUUGGCCCCUGACCGGGGUUGCGGACAGUGUCUGGUGGGUAGUUUGACUGGGGCGGUCUCCUCCCAAAGCGUAACGGAGGAGCACGAAGGUUAGCUAAUCCUGGUCGGACAUCAGGAGGUUAGUGCAAUGGCAUAAGCUAGCUUGACUGCGAGCGUGACGGCGCGAGCAGGUGCGAAAGCAGGUCAUAGUGAUCCGGUGGUUCUGAAUGGAAGGGCCAUCGCUCAACGGAUAAAAGGUACUCCGGGGAUAACAGGCUGAUACCGCCCAAGAGUUCAUAUCGACGGCGGUGUUUGGCACCUCGAUGUCGGCUCAUCACAUCCUGGGGCUGAAGUAGGUCCCAAGGGUAUGGCUGUUCGCCAUUUAAAGUGGUACGCGAGCUGGGUUUAGAACGUCGUGAGACAGUUCGGUCCCUAUCUGCCGUGGGCGCUGGAGAAUUGAGGGGGGCUGCUCCUAGUACGAGAGGACCGGAGUGGACGCAUCACUGGUGUUCGGGUUGUCAUGCCAAUGGCACUGCCCGGUAGCUAAAUGCGGAAGAGAUAAGUGCUGAAAGCAUCUAAGCACGAAACUUGCCCCGAGAUGAGUUCUCCCUGAGACUUUAAGUCUCCUGAAGGAACGUUAAAGACGAUGACGUUGAUAGGCCGGGUGUGUAAGCGCAGCGAUGCGUUGAGCUAACCGGUACUAAUGAACCGUGAGGCUUAACCUU